Molecule: ribosomal RNA, 253 nt
Filed under: uncultured bacterium
Lineage: Bacteria
Description: partial 16S ribosomal RNA
Rfam family: Bacterial small subunit ribosomal RNA
Source: RNAcentral
UACGGAGGGUGCAAGCGUUAUCCGGAUUUACUGGGUUUAAAGGGUGUGUAGGCGGGUCUUUAAGUCAGUGGUGAAAUCUCCGAGCUCAACUUGGAAACUGCCAUUGAUACUAUUGAUCUUGAAUUUUGUUGAGGUAGGCGGAAUAAGUCAUGUAGCGGUGAAAUGCACAGAUAUGACUUAGAACACCAAUUGCGAAGGCAGCUUACUAAGCAAAUAUUGACGCUGAGGCACGAAAGCGUGGGGAUCAAACAGG